GCUCGACUGGCCCAGUGGUUAAGGCGUCUGUGUAUGUUCUACUUAUCACUCACUAGAAAUGGUCCACCGCUAACAUCCUCCCUUACAGCUUACACACAGAAGAUCCUCGGUUCGAUCCCGAGGUUGAGCA
Molecule: non-coding RNA, 130 nt
Organism: Aspergillus ellipticus CBS 707.79
Lineage: Eukaryota; Fungi; Ascomycota; Eurotiomycetes; Eurotiales; Aspergillaceae
Source: the annotation of a GenBank genome assembly